AGCGUUGUUCGGAUUUACUGGGCGUAAAGGGCGCGUAGGCGGCAAUUCAAGUCAUCUGUGAAAUCUCCGGGCUUAACCCGGAACGGUCAGGUGAUACUGUUUUGCUAGAGUGCGGAAGGGGCAAUCGGAAUUCUCGGUGUAGCGGUGAAAUGCGUAGAUAUCGAGAGGAACACCAGAGGUGAAGACGGGUUGCUGGGCCGACACUGACGCUGACAGCGCGAAAGCCAGGGGAGCAAACGGG
This 241-nucleotide ribosomal RNA is filed under the name uncultured bacterium. Its description in RNAcentral is "partial 16S ribosomal RNA". It matches the Rfam family "Bacterial small subunit ribosomal RNA", at positions 537 to 776 of the family's 1533-position model. The record is from RNAcentral.